GCCCAGGUAGCUCAGAUGGUAGAGCAGCGGACUGAAAAUCCGCGUGUCGGUGGUUCGAUUCCGCCCCUGGGCACCA
Molecule: transfer RNA, 76 nt
Filed under: Alphaproteobacteria bacterium
Lineage: Bacteria; Pseudomonadati; Pseudomonadota; Alphaproteobacteria
Also listed under: 2 other names
Description: tRNA-Phe
Rfam family: tRNA
About the family: Transfer RNA (tRNA) molecules are approximately 80 nucleotides in length.
Source: RNAcentral